GUGGGGAAUAUUGGACAAUGGGGGGAACCCUGAUCCAGCCAUGCCGCGUGUGUGAAGAAGGCCUUUUGGUUGUAAAGCACUUUAAGCGAGGAGGAGGCUACCGAGAUUAAUACUCUUGGAUAGUGGACGUUACUCGCAGAAUAAGCACCGGCUAACUCUGUGCCAGCAGCCGCGGUAAUACAGAGGGUGCGAGCGUUAAUCGGAUUUACUGGGCGUAAAGCGCGCGUAGGUGGUUAAUUAAGUCAAAUGUGAAAUCCCCGAGCUUAACUUGGGAAUUGCAUUCGAUACUGGUUAGCUAGAGUAUGGGAGAGGAUGGUAGAAUUCCAGGUGUAGCGGUGAAAUGCGUAGAGAUCUGGAGGAAUACCGAUGGCGAAGGCAGCCAUCUGGCCUAAUACUGACACUGAGGUGCGAAAGCAUGGGGAGCAAACAGGAUUAGAUACCCUGGUAGUCC
Molecule: ribosomal RNA, 451 nt
Filed under: uncultured bacterium
Lineage: Bacteria
Description: partial 16S ribosomal RNA
Rfam family: Bacterial small subunit ribosomal RNA
Source: RNAcentral